Mangifera indica (mango) is the source of this 488-nucleotide long non-coding RNA. RefSeq lists it as uncharacterized. NCBI's taxonomy places the organism in Eukaryota, Viridiplantae, Streptophyta, Magnoliopsida, Sapindales, Anacardiaceae. The transcript is spliced from 2 exons. The record is from RefSeq and is a predicted model, not a curated record.
GGAAGGAGCUAGUACCUCUUGUUGCCAGCUUUGUUUUCUUUUCCUUAUAGCAAUUUUCUGCUUGUUUUGUUCUAUUUUAAUUUCUGGAAAAUUGAUUUUGUCUGCGUGUGUUGGAAAAUUGCAAGGUUCAGCUAAAACUUUUAUUUGCUUGUAACAUCGGUGUUGAAAAGUCAUCGAGUUGCUUCGGUAUUGUUGUGAGACAUGCAAUUACAACUCAACACAUUAUGCUUCGGUGUCUGGCCUUCUGAAGCAAAUAGGGAAGAUAUAACCAGGACGUUUCUUCGGAUUGGAGACCAUGAAUCUUUUGAAUGAAGAACACACAUCCAGAAACCCUUUUUCUAGGGCUUCUCUUGUAAUAAAAAAACAACCAAAAAAAAAUUCUUCUCAGUGUGUUUGUAGAGGUAGUAGAAGUAAUUUUACCUGAAGAACAUGUAAUUUGAUGACUCUAUGUGGCAUAAAGAUAAGCAAAGGAAAACUACUAUGACCUA